This 696-nucleotide long non-coding RNA is filed under the name Ailuropoda melanoleuca (giant panda). RNAcentral's name for it is "lncRNA (ENSAMEG00000025979.1)". Lineage: Eukaryota; Metazoa; Chordata; Mammalia; Carnivora; Ursidae. The record is from RNAcentral.
GUUUGAUUGUUCUCAUGUAAAUUUUUUUUUUUUUUUAACAGACCGGGUUUUAAUCACUGGAAGGCAGGAGAACAACUUUGGGUCAUUUGGGUACGCAGACUGGGAAUUCCAAGAUGCCUUAGUAUCAGGCGAAACAUAAGGGCUUCAACUUGGCUCACUCAGGGUGUAUAGUUUUCAUUGAUUCUCAAGAAAGUCCGUGAUUAAGUAUCCCUGCCCAAAGGUGAGGAUGCAUUUUCAGCUUGUCUCCUGCGCCUCCUCCAUUUCUCCCCGAAUUGGAGGCUCUCCCUCAGGUCUGGCUUUGUGUCUUGUUCUUGGGGUCACAUGUGUUCCAGUUUGUGGAAAAUGGUGUUCCAGGCUGUGUUUCCAGCAAGCUGUGGCAAGAAUCAGCCUUUUAGACCGAAGGGGUACAAGGACAAAAGAAGAAGGAAAAGGUAAGGGAGGGGCAUUUACACUCUUGGAAUCUGCUUAGCUUCCCCUGUGAGGGAGUCAUUGCUUCCAUGCGGUGUCAUGGCGGAGCUCCUUAAAGCGGAGCGCCUCAUGGGAAAUCUGACCCCUUCUCCCACGUCGCUUGCUCAAUGCCACACUGCUAGUCAGGGUCACAGUUCAGACCGUACAGCUCAAGCUAAUACCCGGGACGGAUGCUCAACAAGCGAGAGUUGUUUGGAUUUUUAAAAAUUCCUUUCUUAGUAAAAACAC